This 378-nucleotide ribosomal RNA is filed under the name Triticum aestivum (bread wheat). RNAcentral's name for it is "partial small subunit ribosomal RNA". The record is from RNAcentral. Lineage: Eukaryota; Viridiplantae; Streptophyta; Magnoliopsida; Poales; Poaceae.
AUGGCUCCCAACUUCGGCCGUUCCAUCUCCUUCCCUCUCACCCCGACGAGGUCCUUCUCAAAGUCGUCCCGCCACCUCCGCUCUGUCAGCCUCCCCGGCACGACCUCCUCCCACCCGCUCCUCGCCAACCUCCACGCCCACAUCGCCGCCGUCCGUUCCUGGAUCCAGGACACGGCCUCCCUCCAGGCCGGCCUCGCCAACAUCCACGCGCUCCACGCCGCGCUCGCCGACCUCCUCCUCCUCCCAGCGUCCGUGGCCGCGCUUCAGUGCACCACCAGCAAUACCGGCGACCGCCUUCUAGACGCCUUCCUCCUCCUCGCCGACGCGCACCAGGGGCUUCCAGGAGUGCCUCCUAGAGCUCAGGCAGGCCGCCGCUGA